RNAcentral lists this ribosomal RNA (448 nucleotides) under uncultured Treponema sp. RNAcentral's name for it is "bacterial SSU rRNA". It matches the Rfam family "Bacterial small subunit ribosomal RNA", at positions 355 to 794 of the family's 1533-position model. The record is from RNAcentral. Lineage: Bacteria; Pseudomonadati; Spirochaetota; Spirochaetia; Treponematales; Treponemataceae.
CUAAGAAUAUUCCGCAAUGGGGGGAAACCCUGACGGGGCGACGCCGCGUGGAUGAUGAAGGCCGGAAGGUUGUAAAGUCCUUUUGGGCGCAAAGAAUAAGUACGCGAGGAAAUGCGCGUGCGGUGACGGUAGCGCCUGAAUAAGCAACGGCUAAUUACGUGCCAGCAGCCGCGGUAACACGUAAGUUGCGAGCGUUGUUCGGAAUUAUUGGGCGUAAAGGGCAUGUAGGCGGUCGUGCAAGCUUGGUGUGAAAUCCCGGGGCUUAACUCCGGGACUGCGUUGAGAACUGCACGGCUAGAGUAACUGAGGGGCAGCCGGAAUUCCAGGUGUAGGGGUGAAAUGCGUAGAUAUUAGGAGGAACACCAGUGGCGAAGGCGGAUUGCUGGACGACAACUGACGGUGAGGCGCGAAAGCGUGGGGAGCAAACAGGAUUAGAUACCCUGGUAGU